Molecule: non-coding RNA, 95 nt
Organism: Acanthosepion pharaonis
Lineage: Eukaryota; Metazoa; Mollusca; Cephalopoda; Sepiida; Sepiidae
Source: the annotation of a GenBank genome assembly
CGUUAAAACACCGGUUUCCUUAAGAUCACCGAAGUUGAGCAACGUCGACUCUGGUCAGUACCUAGAUGGGUGACAGCUUGGGAAUACCAGGUGCU